UUGGAUCAUUACAUCGAUCAUUUUGGGCUUUCAUCUUAUUGUGGGAAACGAUUUCUGAAGAUCGUUACCACCAACUCCGAGGAUGAGACCUACAGGCUUCAGGGUCCCCUGCCGCUGCAAGUCGGCUUGAUCAUGGUUUGCCUGGGUGCCUCCGACUCGUAUACCGCAGAAACGCUGCUCGACCUUCCUUGAAAAGCCUUAAGCGCCCCACUAGAUAUGCUGGAACGGCGCAGACUGCUUGAACAAGUCUCCUGGGUAAGUCGGCUUUAACCAGGUGCCCAUUCGUACCGUAGUAGAAAUGGUGUCUGGCCCUGGUUUGUGAGGAUUAUUCAUGUUAUCAAUCAGAUGAAUCGGCCAAGUCAUUGUCAGUGUUAUUAUGAUAACAUUGCGAUGGCCAUAUAUUCUUUUGUGGUCUUUCAAGAGGAAUACAUUUUCAGGUCAUUAGCACACACCCCUGUUCCACACAAGCGUGCAUGUGCAUGAAAGUAUAUGUAAAUGUAUCGUAUUAAACACAGCAUCCUGAAGCCU
RNAcentral lists this small RNA (528 nucleotides) under Histoplasma capsulatum var. duboisii H88. RNAcentral describes it as "Histoplasma capsulatum H88 hypothetical RNA". Lineage: Eukaryota; Fungi; Ascomycota; Eurotiomycetes; Onygenales; Ajellomycetaceae. The record is from RNAcentral.